UGAUGAAGAACGUAGCGAAAUGCGAUACGUAGUGUGAAUUGCAGAAUUCAGUGAAUCAUCGAAUCUUUGAACGCACAUUGCACCUCUCGGUAUUCCGGGAGGUAUGCCUGUUCGAGCGUCAUUUGUACCCUCAAGCUCUGCUUGGUGUUGGGUGUUUGUUCCGCCUCUGUGUGUGAACUCGCCUCAAAACAAUUGGCAGCCGGCGUACUUGUUUCGGAGCGCAGCACAUUUUGCGAUCCAGAUCAACGUACAGCGGCAUCCAAGAAGCCUUAUUUAACGCUCUUGACCUCGGAUCAGGUAGGGAUACCCGCUGAACUUAAGCAUAUCAAUAAGCGGAGGA
RNAcentral lists this unclassified non-coding RNA (340 nucleotides) under soil metagenome. RNAcentral describes it as "partial contains 5.8S ribosomal RNA, internal transcribed spacer 2, and large subunit ribosomal RNA". The stretch from base 2 to 121 matches the Rfam family "5.8S ribosomal RNA", at positions 35 to 154 of the family's 154-position model. The record is from RNAcentral.